Molecule: long non-coding RNA, 1784 nt
Organism: Hemicordylus capensis (graceful crag lizard)
Lineage: Eukaryota; Metazoa; Chordata; Lepidosauria; Squamata; Cordylidae
Exons: 2
Source: RefSeq, a predicted model, not a curated record
GCAAUUAUAUCCUGUUGUCACAGUAAACAAUGGUGGGAACCCAGGCUCCCAGGGGUUGGGACCAUUUUCACACAUUAACAUCAAUGCUGCGUUUGUUUUUAAAAUGUAGUUAUUUAAAUUGUCAGUUCACUAUAGUGUUGAAUGCCUUGCGCUUACAAAAGACAAAAUGGAACACAGGCUUGAGAUUCAUUCUGAACUGCUGAGGGAGCAUUCUGUCUCUGCAGACAGAUUCCAUUUACUUUCAAGCUGGCUAACAAAAAGGUUGGCAGGCUGAGCUCAGAGACGUUAUUUUAUUGGAUAUGUGUUUGCAUGUGGACACAGGCUUAGCUUUUUCCCCCCCUGUGAAGUGUUGGAUCUUCAAUAUACAAUACAUUCUGACUCAUCUAAAUGCCAAGUGCAAGCUAAACUUAUUUAGAAGUCAGUACUGUAACUUUGUUCUUGAGAUGAAAAGUGUUAAGAACCUAAUUUGUGCUUUUAAUCUCUGACACUGGCACUAAAAUUAGUUCCUUUCGAAACUUUUUUAAAAUAGCAAUUAACCUUUUUUCUGUGUUAGCAAGAAGCAUUACAAUAAGAGGUAUGCUUCUCUCCACAGGAACCUCUAAAAUUGGGCCUGAUGAGUUGACGGGUGCUUGAGUUACUAAAGCAAUCUGGGAAAGAGGGCAGAAAGCUGGGUACCCUGGAUACAAGCUAGGCAAAGGAUCAACCAGGCUAUAUUGCCAGAUGAGGUUUUCAAUCUUGAUCUUCUGGAAACAAAGCAGGAGGAAAGACUGAAGCACACUAACAAGAGAAGGAUUAUUUUUGUCCUUUUUAUUUUUAUUUUUUUUGUCCCACCGUCUGGGAGAAAAUCUAUUUUCACUCUUGUUAGAACAGGUUUUUUUAAAUAUUUAGGCCUUUUUCUUAGGUGUUGGGGUAAACACCUUAGGUGUUGGGGUAAACACCUGAGUUAAUGGGCUAAUUGCUAUACAUCUUAGUUUAGAAUUUAGUUUUGAAUUCUGAUGGAUUUUAUUCUUUACAUGCCUGCAUGGCAAGUGGCCUUCUAAAUAAUGUAUGUUUAUCCAGCUUUUAGCUCUGUUCACCCAGUUUAAAAUGUAGAAUGACCUCACAAGGCAUCUGAGAUGCCACUGUUCUGUUUUUUGGUAGCUGAGAAAUGGAAGUACACUGGCCCUGGGCUGCACAACAUAUGGCCUGCAGUUCACUGGCCCACAAUGGAAGCAGGUUGCUGCCUCCCGCCUCCCAUGGAGUCCUAGCUCCCAAGUCACUCUGCUCCCUUCAGGGGGCUGCUGCAGAGGCAGAAAUGGAGACUCGCUCACUUUCCCCAGGCUCCUGUGCCCUCCUGCCUCCGAGGCCAGGAGCUUCCUGGGAAUGAAGGUGCACAUGUGUCCUGAUGGAGACACAGGGUGCAUGCAUACCCUCAUUUCACAGGCUCCUGGCCCCAGUAGAAGCAGAAGGGCUCGGGAGUCUGGGCAGGCAGUGGUGAACAGGAGAACCUGAGCCUUUGCUUCUGCUUGCUUCCUGAUGGAGGCAGAGGGACUUAAGAGCUGGGGGGAAGCGAGCGGUGCCCCUCAUCAGAGCGGCUCAGGAUCCAGUGGGAGGCAAGUGACAGCGUAUGCUGCCUCACCACCGCUCCUGCCGCCCGCCCACUCGGAGGGCCGGAGAACUGAGGAAUUUUCACUGGUCGGGAGAAUGAAAUCAGAAAGAACACUUCUAAAACAUGUCAAGAGACACUUCUUAAUCCUUUGCUGAAAAUACAAAUCCUAUUAUAAAGUUCUGUUAUGAAAAAUGCA